RNAcentral lists this ribosomal RNA (584 nucleotides) under uncultured bacterium. Its description in RNAcentral is "bacterial SSU rRNA". It matches the Rfam family "Bacterial small subunit ribosomal RNA", at positions 338 to 916 of the family's 1533-position model. The record is from RNAcentral.
CCUACGGGAGGCAGCAGUGGGGAAUAUUGGACAAUGGGCGCAAGCCUGAUCCAGCCAUGCCGCGUGUGUGAAGAAGGCCUUCGGGUUGUAAAGCACUUUUAUCCGGAAAGAAAAGCUUUGGGUUAAUACCCUGAAGUCAUGCGGUACCGGAAGAAUAAGCACCGGCUAACUUCGUGCCAGCAGCCGCGGUAAUACGAAGGGUGCAAGCGUUACUCGGAAUUACUGGGCGUAAAGCGUGCGUAGGUGGUUUGUUAAGUCUGAUGUGAAAGCCCUAGGCUCAACCUGGGAAUUGCAUUGGAUACUGGCAGGCUAGAGUGCGGUAGAGGAUAGUGGAAUUCCCGGUGUAGCAGUGAAAUGCGUAGAGAUCGGGAGGAACAUCUGUGGCGAAGGCGACUAUCUGGACCAGCACUGACACUGAGGCACGAAAGCGUGGGGAGCAAACAGGAUUAGAUACCCUGGUAGUCCACGCCCUAAACGAUGCGAACUGGAUGUUGGGUGCAACUAGGCACUCAGUAUCGAAGCUAACGCGUUAAGUUCGCCGCCUGGGGAGUCGGUCGCAAGACUGAACUCAAAUGAAUUGACGG